CUGCUGUCGACGUUUGAUGAUGUAUCAACUUUGAAACUGCGCAAAAAGCUUAUUCUUAUUCAGUAAUUUUUAAAGUGUCGCCAUCUUGUGUCUCCAAUGAGUACCGUCGUUUAAAAGCAAGCAGAUGUUCUUACAAUGACCGGGUUCUAAAAUUUAUUAAACAAAAAAAAAGUUGAAAUGUCAGGGAUAAUCAGUGCAAGUUUUUCAAUAGUUUGUUUUAUUUAUUAGUGUUAUUAAAAACAAUUUAACUAUCUUCCUUAAUUUUAUUUUCAGUGAUAACCUUCGUCAAAAUUUUUUAUUACACAUUAAAUUGGCUGUCUAUGUUCCGGUGAGUCAAUUUAUUUUAAAAAUCCAUUUUUUAAUAGCUUGCUUUUGGUUUGUUUGUUAUAGGAACGUGAAGAUUUAUAAU
Cotesia glomerata is the source of this 409-nucleotide long non-coding RNA. RefSeq lists it as uncharacterized. The transcript has 3 exons. NCBI's taxonomy places the organism in Eukaryota, Metazoa, Arthropoda, Insecta, Hymenoptera, Braconidae. The record is from RefSeq and is a predicted model, not a curated record.